Molecule: ribosomal RNA, 372 nt
Filed under: uncultured organism
Description: bacterial SSU rRNA
Rfam family: Bacterial small subunit ribosomal RNA
Source: RNAcentral
CAGAGGGGGCAAGCGUUAUUCGGAAUUAUUGGGCGUAAAGGGCGCGUAGGCGGCUUGACAAGUGGCGGGUGAAAUCCCUCGGCUUAACCGAGGAACUGCCUGCCAGACUGUCUUGCUUGAGACCGGGAGAGGUGAGUGGAAUUCCCAGUGUAGCGGUGAAAUGCGUAGAUAUUGGGAGGAACACCAGUGGCGAAGGCGGCUCACUGGACCGGAACUGACGCUGAGGCGCGAAAGCGUGGGGAGCAAACAGGAUUAGAUACCCUGGUAGUCCACGCCGUAAACGAUGAGUGCUUGGUAUAGCGGGUAUCGACCCCUGCUGUGCCGAAGUCAACACAUUAAGCACUCCGCCUGGGGAGUACGGUCGCAAGACUG